RNAcentral lists this ribosomal RNA (402 nucleotides) under Verrucomicrobiota bacterium. RNAcentral's name for it is "Verrucomicrobia bacterium partial 16S ribosomal RNA". It matches the Rfam family "Bacterial small subunit ribosomal RNA", at positions 355 to 776 of the family's 1533-position model. The record is from RNAcentral. Lineage: Bacteria; Pseudomonadati; Verrucomicrobiota.
UGGGGAAUUUUGCACAAUGGGGGAAACCCUGAUGCAGCGACGCCGCGUGAUUUAGAAGGCCUUCGGGUUGUAAAAAUCUUUUGUAUGGGAAGAAAAUGACAGUACCAUACGAAUAAGGACCGGCUAAUUACGUGCCAGCAGCCGCGAUAAUACGUAAGGUCCGAGCGUUGUCCGGAAUCAUUGGGCGUAAAGGGUACGUAGGCGGAUAAGCAAGUUAGAAGUGAAAUCCUAUAGCUCAACUAUAGUAAGCUUUUAAAACUGCUCAUCUUGAGGUAUGGAAGGGAAAGUGGAAUUCCUAGUGUAGCGGUGAAAUGCGCAGAUAUUAGGAGGAAUACCGGUGGCGAAGGCGACUUUCUGGCCAUAAACUGACGCUGAGGUACGAAAGCGUGGGUAGCAAACAGG